This is a non-coding RNA of Globicephala melas (long-finned pilot whale), 611 nucleotides long. The record is from RefSeq and is a predicted model, not a curated record. Lineage: Eukaryota; Metazoa; Chordata; Mammalia; Artiodactyla; Delphinidae.
GAUAAUGACUUAGACCCCCUGGAGUGGAAACCCAUUAAAUGGAGCCGCUUCCAGCUUUUGGAUAUCUCCAGUAUCAUCAAUCUGUGUACUGGGAAUUUUGAACUGAAACUCAGGAGAGAAAUCGUUUUCUGUACCUGUCAUAGAGUGCGUUCCCCUGAAGCCAACACUGAGACAGAGAUGAACACACAGGAAGUUAAGCGAGAAGUGCUCUUGGAAUCAGAACCUGGAAAGGAGAGAGAAGGGUAUGGAACUGGGCAGAGGAAGAAGCUGGGCUACCACGCAGUCUCAACAGUGACCUCAGCCAGCCUCAUGAGGAGCUCUGAGGCAGCGGCCCUUUUGUUGUGGUGAAAGGAGCCAGGCCUCUAUACUCCUGAAUCAACCAGUCAUUGGCUAAGGUUGUCCCUGGAAAGGAGCAAGACCUUGGACCAGGCCCUGGCCAGGAAUCAGACCAAGCAGCAAGCAAGCACAGGACCCCACCGAUGCUACCCUACCCAGAAGGCUGUCUCCAGCCCUGCUCCCCAGCCAGAGUCCUGCAGGGGAAUGAUUUUCACUGUAUUUCCUCUGAGAGCCCUGACCCUACGGGGGCCUGAAAGGAGCCACACUCCAGCCAA